UUCAAACGGAUCUUUAUUAAAAAUAAAAACUUUUUCGAUCGUUAAUUAACCACUGGCAAUAAUAACGCCACUAUUCCGAUUUUUAUCGAUGCUUUUCUCCGGACGACAAAGUGGUCCUUCUCCCUUUUGUUCGAUUAUUCUUGACAACAAGAAUAAAAAAGAAAAGAAAGGAAGGAGAGCGAAGAAAGAAACGAUCGACAAAACAAAUUGCAUCUUCGCGAGGAUUUUUGCCCGUGGAUUAAUGGGAAGUCGGAGUCGCUUUGAAGCGAUGGUACAUCGCUCGAAACAUCGAAGAGCAAGAAUCUUCAAUUAUUAAUAAAUUGAGGCCAGCCGCGUUCCUACGCCCUGUCCCCCGCGAUAUUUUUCCCUCCGUCAGCGAGACACAAGUGCCCUCCAUAAAUGUCCACGAUGUAAAUAAGUCGUUCAUCGCGUCUGAGAAGAGGCGAAAGAGUCUACGUUCCGCGGACUUUAUUUCUUCAAUCAGUUUUAAUUUCGACGUUCGAACGACGGUUGGCCAGUCUCGUUUCUCUCGAAAGUCAACGUUUCAACAAUGUCUUUUCUCGAUUCGCGUUAAGAGAGUUUGCAUACUGGCGCACGUGGGUGUACAACUGCGAGAUACCACGUAUAGAUGUAACGUUUUUCCACGCGACGCCGGAGACUUUAACGCUUGACCUCGGCGUACCGAAAAUUUUCCCCUCGUUCCAAUUUUUACGGUAAACCGGACUUUUGAAACGGCGCGAAUGUGAUCGAGAAAGCAGAUCGAAGGGCGCGAUCAUUGUCAUUACCGAUGCAGGAAAAAUGAUAAAUAGCUCGCCGUGUAAUCCAUAUUAUUCUAUAUUUAACGUCUGAAAAGCGGAAAGCGUAACCGUUUUCUCUUACUUUUGACGUGCCACGUGCGUGUGGGGAAAAAAAAAAACGAAGUCGAAACGAUUCCUCGAACUCGAUUCCGUUCGUCGCUAUAAUGCAAAAUUAUAAAUUUCUUUCGAGCCGAAAUAUCGAAAUACUCCGAGGAAGAAGAACUCCAGUCGAUAUCUUCGCUUCGCGAGGGGUUGAAGCGGUGGCGAGGGGCUCGCGGGGGGAAAAGGAAGAGACGUAGAGUAGUAAGUACUUUACUUUUGAUCGAGCGACGAAAUAUGGCGCACGAUUCGUUGUUCGACGUAAGGGGCAUUCGCUCGCUACCAAGUUCAUUAGAAAAACGAGAUUACCGGCCUCUCUGCCUCUAGUUACGUAAUUCGAUCGAUAGUUCAGGCGUUUCCCGUUUCUGGCCGCCGCCGACGAGGAGAAGCAAAAGGGGCGACAGGGAAGAGGGAAGGAGGGGAGGGGGGGGGAGAGGUGCAGGGGGACAGAAAGACAGACGGUGAAACGAGAGAAACGAGAUGGAAGGGUAAAAAAGGAAUUUGCAACCGCGAUGAGAGAAGGUGUGGCCUUGGAAAAGAGAGAGAGAGAGAGAGGAGAGAGAGAGAGA
Molecule: long non-coding RNA, 1465 nt
Organism: Apis mellifera (honey bee)
Lineage: Eukaryota; Metazoa; Arthropoda; Insecta; Hymenoptera; Apidae
Exons: 2
Source: RefSeq, a predicted model, not a curated record